GCGGCAGGCUUAACACAUGCAAGUCGAGCGGGGGAAGGUGAGCUUGCAUCACUGGACCUAGCGGCGGACGGGUGAGUAAUGCUUAGGAAUCUGCCUAUUAGUGGGGGACAACAUCUCGAAAGGGAUGCUAAUACCGCAUACGUCCUACGGGAGAAAGCAGGGGAUCUUCGGACCUUGCGCUAAUAGAUGAGCCUAAGUCGGAUUAGCUAGUUGGUGGGGUAAAGGCCUACCAAGGCGACGAUCUGUAGCGGGUCUGAGAGGAUGAUCCGCCACACUGGGACUGAGACACGGCCCAGACUCCUACGGGAGGCAGCAGUGGGGAAUAUUGGACAAUGGGGGGAACCCUGAUCCAGCCAUGCCGCGUGUGUGAAGAAGGCUUAUGGUUUUAAAGCACUUUAAGCGAGGAGGAGGCUACUCUAGUUAUACCCWGGGAUAGUGGACGUUAUCGCAAAAUAAGCACCGGCUAAUCUUGCACACCGGGGAAAAA
Molecule: ribosomal RNA, 487 nt
Filed under: Acinetobacter baumannii
Lineage: Bacteria; Pseudomonadati; Pseudomonadota; Gammaproteobacteria; Moraxellales; Moraxellaceae
Description: bacterial SSU rRNA
Rfam family: Bacterial small subunit ribosomal RNA
Source: RNAcentral